Molecule: long non-coding RNA, 406 nt
Filed under: Oryctolagus cuniculus (rabbit)
Lineage: Eukaryota; Metazoa; Chordata; Mammalia; Lagomorpha; Leporidae
Description: lncRNA (ENSOCUG00000030436.1)
Source: RNAcentral
UGGCUGAACCCGCUGUGCCACUGCGCCAGGCCCCAUCUCUCCUGGUUUUAAAGUCACAGGAAAUGUACUCUGCAGCUUUGGCCCCUGGCUUUGGAAAAGUUCAGGGCCAGAACUGAGCCCUGCUACGAGUUGUAAGGGGCACCCCGGCGGGGAGGGGGGUGGGUCAGGACCGCAGCCAGCGUGGGUCUCAUUGCUGGCUUCUUAAUUUUGCAGGUGGCCUUGAUGACAGCUGGCAGAGGGGACUGUUGAGCCACAGCUGUGUUUACUUCCCUGGAAACGGGCACCUUUGUGAAGACCAAGUUUGCAGGCAGCAAAACCCAAGGCACCCACUGUGGACUCGUCUUUCACGGAAGUGGAGCGUCUGUCCCAGACACUGGCUUAAGGAAGUACCUGGAAAUUUCGUGGU